Molecule: long non-coding RNA, 477 nt
Organism: Bubalus bubalis (water buffalo)
Lineage: Eukaryota; Metazoa; Chordata; Mammalia; Artiodactyla; Bovidae
Exons: 2
Source: RefSeq, a predicted model, not a curated record
GGGGUCCCGGGACGCGCGGAGGUCCCGGAGCUGUGUCGCGGUCCAGGGGUGCGCGGUGUUCCCGGAGCAGUACCGGGACGGCGGGCGCGCGAGGACCCGGGGUUAUGCUGGGGACCCGGGGCGCGCAAGGGUCCCAGGGCUCCCCUCCGGGCCGCAGCUUCCGCGCGCGGCCACCAGAGGGCGCCUGGGCCGAUAUCCGAAGGGCCAACUUCAAUCCGCUCGGCUCUGGACUCCACCGGCGGGGGCAGAGGCAAACGUGGGGACAUGGACCAGACAAGUCCUGGACCCGUGAACAGCGAGAGAGGAGAGGGACAGGAGUGGGUCGGCGCUCCCAGACUGGCUGGAAGGCAGCACUCAAAGGAAAUCCCCGGAAGCUGGUAUCUACAACUUUGUAUCAAACCCCUGGUCCCAAUGCUGGCACGUGAUUAGUAGGUGUUCUGCAGACAGUAGCUGCAUUAAAACCGAACAACAAAAUGA